This 118-nucleotide small nuclear RNA is filed under the name Procavia capensis (Cape rock hyrax). Lineage: Eukaryota; Metazoa; Chordata; Mammalia; Hyracoidea; Procaviidae. The record is from RNAcentral.
GUGAAACACUUUCUUCCCACCAGGCAUCACACAUGCUAAAACUGGAAUGAUACAGAAAACUUUCACACGGCCCCUGCACAAAGAUGACAAGCCAAUUCAUGAAGCGUUCCAUAUUUAA